Long non-coding RNA from Orcinus orca (killer whale), 2776 nucleotides. RefSeq lists it as uncharacterized. Lineage: Eukaryota; Metazoa; Chordata; Mammalia; Artiodactyla; Delphinidae. The transcript has 4 exons. The record is from RefSeq and is a predicted model, not a curated record.
GUCAGGGCUUCCCCAGUGGCGCAGUGGUUGAGAGUCCGCCUGCCAAUGCAGGGGACGUGGGUUCGUGGGUUCGUGCCCCCGUCCGAGAAGAUCCCACAUGCUGCAGAGCAGCUGGGCCUGUGAGCCAUGGCUGCUGAGCCUGCGCGUCCGGAGCCUGUGCUCCACAGCAGGAGAGGCCACGACAGUGAGAGGCCCGCAUACCGCAAAAAAAAAAAAAAAAAAAAAAAAAUCUAAUAGUCAAUAAUUCCAUGACUUUACAUUUGUUCUUGUAGAAGCACAUAAUCAUUAUGUCUCACAGGUAAUUGAUUUAAUGUUUGGUAGAUUGGUUAGUUGGUUGGCUGGUUUACAGUUAAGUGAUCAGGGGGCACUGGUGACUCAACUAAAUCUACCUUAUUAAAGCACGUAAAAGAGAUACGAUAGGAACAAAUGAAGAGAUCUUAAAACAUUACCAACCUAAUUUUAUUUUGGUGGGUGAGAGACCAUGUAUCUUUUUAACCACCUCUUUUGGGAUGUCUUACUUGUAGGUCUGGAGUGUGGAGUGGUUGCCUGACCUGUUCUGACCCCUGGCAUUCUGUGAGUCCUAGGUGCAACUGGGCUGAGCAGUUUCAGCUUCAUAAACAAAGGAAAUGACUAACCAUUUACUGUUUCCUCUAACUGCUGGGAGCCUCUGCUGGGCUCUGGCAUUCCUGCUAGUUUUGAAGCGAUAACACUAGAGUAUUCUCCUGACAGAUCCCUGAAAGUCUCUAAUUUUAGAACUAGAAAGGGCAGUAAAGAUCAUUAACCUCUCCCCUCUUAUUACAGAUAGGGAAACUGAGGUGCUUAAGAUGAAGUGACCUUGCACAAACUUCAAGAGUUGGUUACUUGCAGCACCUGAACUAACACUAAAGUACCCACCCAGAGUCUUUGACUAGCCUUCCCUUCAGCCAUGAGGCCUCAUUGUAAGCACUGUAUUUUCCAGCUGUUUCUAGGACAGUCUGGUUUAUAGAGACUAACUUCCAACUGAUGAUCCCUCCUCCCCUGGCCCCAGAACUCUCAGUCUGAUCAAACCAAGCAUUGUUGUUAGGUCUUACAGCAACUAAAGAAAAGAAAGAUUCUGGUAAUUAAAGAAGAUACCCAGAGGCCAGAGAUAUCUCUUUCUCCUGAAACACCUGGGAUACGUUACCUUAGAGACAACUGAGGUUAUAUAUUAUAUAACUAACAAACUGGUUAUAUAAUACCAAAUGUGUGUGUGCAUAAACUGGUUUUAUGCAAAGUAUCUAAAACAAUUUUUUAAAGAGGAAAUGAUAGAUUAUAGUUUGUGGUUCAUGAAAAUUAUGACCUGUGGACCCAGAGCAUUGCUAUAUUCUGUAAAGCCUGUUUCAAGGCUGUACCUGAGGGAUCUGGACCUAGUUCAUGGUUUAAAACAGCUUGUUACUUCCGUUAGGGAGCAUUUAAGAAAUUUAAGGGGACAUUUUUUUGUUGCUAUAGUAAUUAGAGGGAUUUUAGUGGGAGGGACGAGGGAUGCUCUAAGAUCUGUUUUUUAGGAAACAGUCUCUCACAAUGAAAACUCAUUCUGUGUAUUACACAGCUCUUCUUUAUGGAGCUGAACUUUAAGUUGAUUAAAAAUGUGUUUAUAAUCUCUGCAUCUAGAACACAGACACUGAAUUUUCCUUUUCACAGCUUUGCGAUAGACUGAAUUUUCUAGGACUAAAACUACAGUGCAAUCAAGGGAAGACUUUUGUUUUGUCCAGAAAAUGUUGAAGUGUUUAUCAUAAUUUUAGAAAAUUUAGCUACUUAUGGCAAGCCUGCUUAUAUUAUAUGAGUGAUCAGUACACAAUACUUGUAUCAGUUGAAUAAACAUGUGGAUAUUCCUUAUAGCUUGAUAUAUGGAGAUUAAUUCUGUAACUUCCAUCACCCAAGAGAAAGUUUCCCAAAAGAAAAAUUAACUUUAACUGAAACAUAUAUAAUGUCUGGAGCAUUAAGGUGAAUGAUAAGAUUAUGUGUUUCAAGCUAAUAAGAAUUUAUGUCCAGGAAAUAGAAAUGAUAUACCAUAAGAAAGAUUACGUAUAAAAAGAUAAUAUUUUAACGUCUCCUUGUUCUCCAAAAAUACCACUGACCUACUAGUAAAGAUGCAAGGCUCUUAUCAUGUCCUCAGUAGCUAUUUUUUCUCUGCCUUCAACAUAUCACAUAUCCUUUAUUUUUUUUUUUAAUAUUUAUUUAUUUAUUUUGUCUGUGCUGGGUGUUAGUUGCGGCCUGCAGGAUCUUUUGUUGUUUUUUUUUUAGUUGCAGCAUGCCGACUUCUUAGUUGUGGCAUGCAGACUUUCUUGGUUCACAUAUCCAUUAUUUGAUAAGUAGUAUUAGCCUAUCAAUUAUAAGUGGUUAAUGUGAUGUAAAAUGUUCUUAUUUCUCAGGAACACCAUUUGUAUUUUUUUAUCCAUGGUCUGACUUUGUGGAGUAAGGAGAAACAUAUUGUCAUUCACAUAAGUUUCCUGUCAGAAUGACACUAAUCGUUGAUAGUUCUUACAGAAAUAAAAUUUUAUAGGCAAUCAUUGUCAGCCUAUUCAGUCACAGAGAGGUGGAUUCAGGUCCCAUGGUUCGUAAUCAGUAGUGACAGAAAGAAGAGUGAAAUUGAUUAGAGAUUAAAAACACUGAUAUUCCAGCAGUCAGAAGAGGAACUGAAAAGAAACAGACAAUCAUAGGGAAAGGAACAAAAAACAUGUUCAAAGUUUAGAAAUUGGAUACUAUCAAGUGCUGAUGAAGAUGCGGAACACUAAUUAUUCUCCCUCAUUUUCCCAAG